GAUGAAGAACGUAGUGAAAUGCGACAAGUAAUGUGAAUUGCAGAAUUCCGUGAAUCAUCGAAUCUUUGAACGCACAUUGCGCCUUCUGGUAUUCCGGAAGGCAUGCCUGUUCGAGAGUCAUUAACAACCGUUUCGAUCCCUUUCUUUCAGAAAUUACAAAGAGGAAAAGGGUUUGGUUAUGGUGGAGGAGGGAAAGGGAGCGUUUAGCCUGUAAAAAAAGAGGCUGUGUUCCGCCUCCCCCCCAAAAUUGUACAGGCGGUCGUGUGCGCCCACGCAUCGAGGUGUUGUAAAAGCUGCCACGGCACUUUUCACCUGUGCAGUGCGAGAUUGGCCAGCCGGUUUAAAAACCCCUCCAAACAAUCAAAGGUUGACCUCGGAUCAGGUAGGGAUACCCGCUGAACUUAAGCAUAUCAAUAAGCGGAGGA
RNAcentral lists this unclassified non-coding RNA (425 nucleotides) under soil metagenome. Its description in RNAcentral is "partial contains 5.8S ribosomal RNA, internal transcribed spacer 2, and large subunit ribosomal RNA". The stretch from base 1 to 120 matches the Rfam family "5.8S ribosomal RNA", at positions 35 to 154 of the family's 154-position model. The record is from RNAcentral.